UUCGGUCCCUAUCUGCCGUGGGCGCUGGAGAACUGAGGGGGGCUGCUCCUAGUACGAGAGGACCGGAGUGGACGCAUCACUGGUGUUCGGGUUGUCAUGCCAAUGGCACUGCCCGGUAGCUAAAUGCGGAAGAGAUAAGUGCUGAAAGCAUCUAAGCACGAAACUUGCCCCGAGAUGAGUUCUCCCUGAGACUUUAAGUCUCCUGAAGGAACGUUGAAGACGACGACGUUGAUAGGCCGGGUGUGUAAGCGCAGCGAUGCGUUGAGCUAACCGGUACUAAUGAACCGUGAGGCUUAACCUUACAACGCCGAAG
RNAcentral lists this ribosomal RNA (313 nucleotides) under Salmonella enterica subsp. enterica serovar Infantis. Its description in RNAcentral is "partial 23S ribosomal RNA". It matches the Rfam family "Bacterial large subunit ribosomal RNA", at positions 2630 to 2925 of the family's 2925-position model. Lineage: Bacteria; Pseudomonadati; Pseudomonadota; Gammaproteobacteria; Enterobacterales; Enterobacteriaceae. The record is from RNAcentral.